Molecule: unclassified non-coding RNA, 3711 nt
Filed under: Diuraphis noxia (Russian wheat aphid)
Lineage: Eukaryota; Metazoa; Arthropoda; Insecta; Hemiptera; Aphididae
Description: c-1-tetrahydrofolate synthase, cytoplasmic, transcript variant X2
Source: RNAcentral
CCAAAUUAAUAUUAUUUUCAAACUUUAAAUCUUUACUUGCUAGCAAAGUAGCAAGUUGUAACUCGUCCAUAAUUCUUUAGAAUCCUAAAGCCAGUAAAUCCUUACCUUUGCACCCUUGAGCCAUAUACACUUCUUGAGUUGUAUACUCGUAUUAAUUAUAGGUAUUCACUUCCCAUUCAUUUAUUACUGUCAGCACUCGUCAUCGUCAUGUCCGAAGAAGUUGUUGCAAAAGUGUUGUCCGGUACUGAACUAUCCAAGGAAACGAAGAGCAACUUGAAAAAACAAACUGAUGCACUUGCUGAACAUUUUAAUGGGUUUAAAGCUCGCCUCAUUAUUGUUCAAGUAGGAGGACGCGAUGAUUCCAAUGUCUAUAUCAGGCAAAAAAUUAAGUCUGCGGCCGAAGUGGGUGUGGAAGCAUCACAUGUACAGUAUCCCAAGACAAUCACUCAAAAUGAGUUAUUGUCAGAAAUCAACAAAUACAACAUCGAUUCAUCUGUACAUGGUAUUAUUGUUCAAAUGCCUUUAGAUUGUAUAGAAAAUAUUGAUUCACAUUUGAUCACCAAUGCUGUUUCUCCUGAAAAGGAUGUUGACGGUUUAAACAUUGUUAAUGAAGGUCGAGUAGCUAUUGGUGAUCUAACUGGUCUGAUUCCUUGCACUCCAAAUGGUGUUAUUCAACUUAUCAAAAGAAGUGGAAUUGAAAUUUCUGGAACAAGGGCUGUAGUGUUGGGCCGCAGUAAAAUUGUCGGGGCACCUGUGGCUAGUUUACUAUUAUGGCAUAAUGCUACUGUUACAAUUUGUCAUUCUAAAACUAAGGACAUUGAAAAAGAAGUGUCUAAAGCAGAUAUUUUAGUUGUUGCUAUUGGGAAACCAGAAUUUGUUCAUGGGUCAUGGAUAAAACCCGGAGCAGUAGUUAUAGACUGUGGUAUCAACUCUAUUCAAGACUCUUCAAAAAAGUCUGGUUAUCGUUUGGUUGGAGAUGUUCACUACUCAUCAACAUCUCUGAGAGCAUCUGCCAUAACACCAGUGCCUGGUGGUGUUGGGCCUAUGACUGUUGCUAUGUUGCUAUCUAAUACUGUACAAGCAGCUACAAAGGUUGCAAACAAUAUCUUCAAGUCCCAAUGGAAUUUAGACAUACUUCCAUUAAAACUUCAAAGACCAGUGCCUAGUGAUAUUGAAAUCGCUAGAAGUCAAGAACCAAAGAAUAUAAUGUUGUUGGCUAAAGAAAUUGGUCUUAAAGAAUCUGAGGUGAUUUUAUAUGGUAAUAAAAAGGCUAAAAUUUGCAUAUCCACUUUAGACCGCCUAAAGAACAUAAAUAACGGAAAAUAUAUUGUUAUUACUGGUAUCACACCAACAUCUUUUGGUGAAGGCAAGAGCACAACAACAGUAGGUCUCGUUCAAGCAUUAGCAGCACACUCCAAGAAAAAUACUAUCGCGUGUUUGAGACAGCCUUCACAAGGACCAACGUUUGGAAUCAAAGGUGGUGCGGCAGGUGGUGGUUACUCCCAAGUGAUACCAAUGGAAGAUUUCAACCUCCAUCUGACUGGUGAUAUACACGCAGUAACUGCUGCUAACAAUUUAAUGGCUGCACAAAUUGACGCCCGUAUGUUCCACGAGGCUACUCAAAAAGACCAAGCUUUAUAUGAUCGUCUUGUACCAACUGUGAAUGGUGUUCGUAAGUUCUCUCCAAUACAACUGAACAGGUUAAAGAGGCUUGGAAUCAACAAGACUGACCCAUCAACGUUGACUGCGGAAGAAAUCACUUCUUUUUCUAGGCUAAAUAUUGAUCCAGAUACUAUAUCAUGGAAUAGAGUAAUGGAUACAAAUGAUCGUUUCUUACGUAAAAUUACAAUUGGCCAGUCACCAACUGAGAAAAACCAUACUCGGCAAACAUGUUUUGACAUAUCUGUGGCCAGUGAAAUCAUGGCCAUUCUGGCUCUAGCCAAAGAUGCCAGCGAUUUAAAAGAAAGACUAUCACGUAUUGUAGUAGCGCAAGACAAGAAAAUUGGAAAUCUUACAUCAAAUAAAGAUGUCACUGCAGAUGACUUAGGUAUGACUGGUGCAAUGGCUGUGCUUUUGAAAGACGCUAUUAACCCAACAUUGAUGCAGACACUUGAGGGGACCCCAGUACUGGUACAUGCUGGCCCAUUUGCUAAUAUUGCUCAUGGUGCCUCAUCUAUUGUAGCAGAUUUACUUGCUUCUAAACUAGUAGGUCCCGAUGGCUAUGUUGUUACUGAAGCUGGUUUUGGAUCAGAUAUUGGAAUGGAAAAAUUUUUCAACAUCAAAACCAGAUAUUCUGGUCUUUUGCCUAGUACCAUAGUAUUAGUAUGUACUGUUAGGGCCUUAAGAAUGCAUGGUGGUGGAGCCAUCAGUCCCAAUGUUUCUGCUACACCAGUAGAAAAAGAAGAAGCAUUGAGUAAAGGUGUAGCGAAUUUGCAAAAGCACGUCAGCAAUUGUGUUAAAUAUGGUGUUCCUGUUGUUGUGGCCAUAAACGCUAUGAAGGCAGAUACUGAGAACGAAUGGAAAAUUGUAAGAGAUGCGAGUCUACAGGCAGGUGCAAUGGAUGCAGUUGUGAGCACUCAUUGGGAAAAUGGUGGAUCUGGAGCUAUUAAAUUAGCCGAGACUGUAAUUAAAGCCAGUCAACAACCCCAAGAAUUCAAAUUUUUGUAUGACCUGAAUAUGCCAUUGCAGCUUAAGAUCGAAAUUAUUGCUAAGGAAAUGUAUGGUGCAAAAUCUGUGGAGUAUAAUGAACAUGUUUUAAACAAAUUAAGUUCAUACCAAUCCAAGGGUUAUGGAAAUUUACCAGUUUGUGUGGCAAAAACAGCAUUGUCAUUAAGCGGAGAUCCAAAUCUAAAAGGUGUUCCCACAAACUUCACAUUACCAAUAGUGGAUGUAUAUGUAUCUGCUGGUGCCGGAUUUGUUGUUACAAUAGCCGGAGAAAUUUCCAAAAUGCCUGGCUUGUCUACUCGUCCUAGUAUUUACGAUAUCGACUUAAAUACUGAAACAGGAGAAAUUAUUGGUCUAUUUUAGUAAAGUAAUUAUAUCAUACCCAUAUAGUCAUUAUAGUGCCAUAAAGAUUCUUGUUGAAACACAAAUAGUAAAAAUGUUGAUGUGUCAGUGUCAAUUGUUUUAAAACAGUGAGCUAAUGGUACUUUAAAAAUGAUUUCGAGGUCCACAAUUGGCCCAUUAAAUUAAUAUCUUUUUAUGCAAACUGGCAUUAGUUACAUAAAUUAAAUUUGGUCAUGUUUCUGUAUGCUAUAACACUGUAAGUGUAGGGAAUUUUUAUUAUAUUUUUAUAUCUUAAUCAACAUUUUUAGUAUCUACUAUUGACAGCCUGAGUUAACAAUAAAGGAAAAUCUUAUAAAAUAUUAAAAACCAAAAUAAAUUGAACACAAUUUUUGAAUUUUAGAGAAAUUUAUAGAUUCUAUUAUACACACAUUAACAAUUAAAACUUUGUGUAGAUUAGAAUCAUUAUGUAAUAAGUUAUAAGUUUUAAUAACUUAAGUUAAAACAACUUUCACAUUUCGGUAUGUAGGGCAAUAAAGCAAUUAAAGUUUAAUACCUUUUUCAUAUGGUACAAUUUAAAAGUUCAUAUUAAGCAAUGUUCUUCUAAUCUGAGAUAAACCGUAGAAAUUGCACCUUCUAUAGAGUUAUUUAAAUUCUUAUUUUCAUAUUUUAGUACCUUUAUAAUCAAUGAUAAUAAAGCAUACUCUU